RNAcentral lists this ribosomal RNA (458 nucleotides) under uncultured bacterium. Its description in RNAcentral is "partial 16S ribosomal RNA". It matches the Rfam family "Bacterial small subunit ribosomal RNA", at positions 337 to 795 of the family's 1533-position model. The record is from RNAcentral.
GCUACGAGUGGCUGCAGUGAGGAAUAUUGGUCAAUGGGCGCGAGCCUGAACCAGCCAAGUCGCGUGAGGGAAGACGGUCCUAUGGAUUGUCAACCUCUUUUGUCGGGGCGCAAAAGACGCCACGCGUGGCGUUCCGAGAGUACCCGAAGAAAAAGCAUCGGCUAACUCCGUGCCAGCAGCCGCGGUAAUACGGAGGAUGCGAGCGUAUCCGGAUUUAUUGGGGUGAAAGGGUGCGCAGGCGGCAGAUCAAGUCAGCGGUAAAAUUUAGAGGGUCAACCUCUUCGAGCCGUUGAAACUGGUUUUAUUGAGGGAGUGAGAAGUAUGCGGAAUGCGUGGUGUAGCGGUGAAAUGCAUAGAUAGCACGCAGAACUCCGAUUGCGAAGGCAGCAUACCGGCGCUCAACUGACGCUCAUGCACGAAAGUGUGGGUAUCGAACAGGAUUAGAUACCCCAGUAGUC